GUAGGUGGCAAGCGUUGUCCGGAAUUAUUGGGCGUAAAGCGCGCGCAGGUGGUUCUUUAAGUCUGAUGUGAAAGCCCCCGGGCUCAACCGGGGAGGGUCAUUGGAAACUGGGGAACUUGAGUGCAGGAGAGGAAAGUGGAAUUCCACGUGUGGCGGUGAAAUGCGUAGAUAUGUGGAGGAACACCAGUGGCGAAGGCGACUUUCUGGCCUGUAACUGACACUGAGGCGCGAAAGCGUGGGGAGCAAACAGGAUUAGAUACCCUGGUAGUCCACGCCGUAAACGAUGAGUGCUAAGUGUUGGGGGGCUUCCGCCCCUCAGUGCUGCAGCUAACGCAUUAAGCACUCCGCCUGGGGAGUACGGUCGCAAGACUG
Molecule: ribosomal RNA, 372 nt
Filed under: uncultured organism
Description: partial 16S ribosomal RNA
Rfam family: Bacterial small subunit ribosomal RNA
Source: RNAcentral